RNAcentral lists this ribosomal RNA (122 nucleotides) under Ananas comosus (pineapple). The record is from RNAcentral. Lineage: Eukaryota; Viridiplantae; Streptophyta; Magnoliopsida; Poales; Bromeliaceae.
GGAUGCGAUCAUACCAGCACUAAAGCACCGGAUCCCAUCAGAACUCCGCAGUUAAGCGUGCUUGGGCGAGAGUAGUACUAGGAUGGGUGACCCCCUGGGAAGUCCUCGUGUUGUUGCAUCCC